GACGAACGCUGGCGGCGUGCUUAACACAUGCAAGUCGAACGGAAAGGCCCUGCUUUUGUGGGGUGCUCGAGUGGCGAACGGGUGAGUAACACGUGAGUAACCUGCCCUUGACUUUGGGAUAACUUCAGGAAACUGGGGCUAAUACCGGAUAGGAGCUCCUGCUGCAUGGUGGGGGUUGGAAAGUUUCGGCGGUUGGGGAUGGACUCGCGGCUUAUCAGCUUGUUGGUGGGGUAGUGGCUUACCAAGGCUUUGACGGGUAGCCGGCCUGAGAGGGUGACCGGCCACAGUGGGACUGAGAUACGGCCCAGAGUCCUGCGGGAGGCAGCAGUGGGGAAUAGUGCACAAUGGGCGGAAGCCUGAUGCAGCAACGCCGCGUGCGGGAUGACGGCCUUCGGGUUGUAAACCGCUUUCGCCUGUGACGAAGCGUGAGUGACGGUAAUGGGUAAAGAAGCACCGGCUAACUACGUG
Molecule: ribosomal RNA, 468 nt
Filed under: uncultured bacterium
Lineage: Bacteria
Description: partial 16S ribosomal RNA
Rfam family: Bacterial small subunit ribosomal RNA
Source: RNAcentral